AUGGGUGAUGGCGUGCCUUUUGUAGAAUGAACCGGCGAGUUACGUUUAACAUGCAAGGUUAAGCCGAGAAGGUGGAGCCGCAGCGAAAGCGAGUCUGAAUAGGGCGAAUUAGUAUGUGGACGUAGACCCGAAACCGUGUGAUCUACCCCUGUCCAGGGUGAAGGUGCGGUAACACGCACUGGAGGCCCGAACCCACGUACGUUGAAAAGUGCGGGGAUGAGGUGGGGGUAGCGGAGAAAUUCCAAUCGAACUCGGAGAUAGCUGGUUCUCCCCGAAAUAGCUUUAGGGCUAGCCUCGGUAUAAGAGUAGUGGAGGUAGAGCACUGAUUGGGUGCGGGGUCCGCAAGGAUUACCAAGCUCAGUCAAACUCCGAAUGCCAUAUACUUAUUGCCGGGAGUCAGACAGUGAGUGCUAAGAUCCAUUGUCAAAAGGGAAACAGCCCAGACCAUCAGCUAAGGUCCCCAAGUGUGUGUUAAGUGGGAAAGGAUGUGGAGUUGCACAGACAACCAGGAUGUUGGCUUAGAAGCAGCCACCAUUGAAAGAGUGCGUAAUAGCUCACUGGUCGAGUGACUCUGCGCCGAAAAUGUAACGGGGCUAAACACACCACCGAAGCUAUGGCUAGAUACGUAUGUAUCUGGGGUAGGGGAGCGUUGUGUAGGGGUUGAAGGUGUACUGAAAAGAGCGCUGGACACUACACAAGUGAGAAUGCCGGUAUGAGUAACGAAAAGAUCAGUGAGAAUCUGAUCCGCCGAAAGCCCAAGGUUUCCUGAGGAAGGCUCGUCCGCUCAGGGUAAGUCGGGACCUAAGGCGAGGCCGAAAGGCGUAGUCGAAGGACAACAGUUUGAAAUUACUGUACCACCGUAAUCCGCUAUGAGCGAUGGGGUGACGCAGGAGGGUAGUGACGCGGACUGAUGGAUGUCCGUCUAAGCAGUGAGGCUGAUGUGUAGGCAAAUCCGCACAUCAUUAAGGCUGGGCUGUGAUGGGGAGCGAAAAUUAUAGUAGCGAAGGUCAUGAUCUCACACUGCCAAGAAAAGCCUCUAGCCAGGAGAAGGUGCCCGUACCGCAAACCGACACAGGUAGGCGAGAAGAGAAUUCUAAGGCGCGCGGAAGAACUCUCGUUAAGGAACUCGGCAAAAUGACCCCGUAACUUCGGGAGAAGGGGUGCCCCGGUAGUGUGAAUAGCACGAGGGGGCCGCAGUGAAAAGGCCCAAGCGACUGUUUAGCAAAAACACAGGUCUGUGCGAAGCCGCAAGGCGAAGUAUACGGGCUGACGCCUGCCCGGUGCUGGAAGGUUAAGGGGAGUGGUUAGGGGUAACCCGAAGCUAUGAACCGAAGCCCCAGUAAACGGCGGCCGUAACUAUAACGGUCCUAAGGUAGCGAAAUUCCUUGUCAGGUAAAUUCUGACCCGCACGAAUGGCGUAACGACUUGGGCGCUGUCUCAACGAGAGAUCCGGUGAAAUUUUAAUACCUGUGAAGAUGCAGGUUACCCGCGACAAGACGGAAAGACCCCAUGGAGCUUUACUGCAGCUUGAUAUUGAAUUUGGGUACGAUCUGUACAGGAUAGGUGGGAGCCGUAGAAAUCGGAGCGCAAGCUUCGGUGGAGGCGCCGUUGGGAUACCACCCUGAUCGUAUCUAGGUUCUAACCUAGUACCCUUA
This 1655-nucleotide ribosomal RNA is filed under the name Paenibacillus sp. PastH-3. RNAcentral's name for it is "partial 23S ribosomal RNA". It matches the Rfam family "Bacterial large subunit ribosomal RNA", at positions 589 to 2238 of the family's 2925-position model. The record is from RNAcentral. Lineage: Bacteria; Bacillati; Bacillota; Bacilli; Caryophanales; Paenibacillaceae. RNAcentral also lists the same sequence under 1 other name.